RNAcentral lists this ribosomal RNA (497 nucleotides) under uncultured bacterium. Its description in RNAcentral is "partial 16S ribosomal RNA". It matches the Rfam family "Bacterial small subunit ribosomal RNA", at positions 28 to 507 of the family's 1533-position model. The record is from RNAcentral.
GAUGAACGCUGGCGGCGUGCCUAAUACAUGCGAGUCGAGCGAACGGACGAGAAUCUUGCUUCUCUGAUGUUAGCGGCGGACGGGUGAGUAACACGUGGAUAACCUACCUAUAAGACUUGGAUAACUUCGGGAAACCGGAGCUACUACCGGAUGAUAUUUUGAACCGGUUGGUUCAAGAGUGAAUGACGGUCUUGCGGUCACGUAUAGAUGGAUCCGCGCUGCAUUAGCUAGUUGGUAAGGUAACGGCUUACCAGGGCAACGAUGCAUAGCCGACCUCAGGGGGUGAUCGGCCACACUGGAAGUGAACCACGGUCCAGACUCCUAAGGGAGGCAGCAGUAGGGAAUCUUACGCAAUGGGCGAAAGCCUGACGGAGCAACGCCGCGUGAGUGAUGAAGGUCUUCGGAUCGUAAAACUCUGUUAUUAGGGAAGAACAUAUGUGUACGUAACUGUGCACAUAUUGACGGUACCUAAUCAGAAAGCCACGGCUAACUACGUG